AAAAACAAGGGAGUAAAUGAGGACCAUGAAGACAUGGGCUCAGGUAUGAGGAGACCCUUAAAAAAAAGGAAAAACUAUAAACCAAGCAAUUACUAACUCCAUGGAAGAAAAAAGAAAACACAAUAGUAUAUUAGAAUGUUCAACUGUGAAUAAGAUUCCAUGAGGCUCCUGUAUGUUGGAUGGGAGAUAUCCUAGUUUCUAGCAUCAUCAGCUUUUUGAGCUGCAACAAGGGUCAGGAAUUACCCAACAUAUCACCCAGUGUCUGCAUGUGAGCAGGUUUCUAAGGAUACAAAGGGCCCAUGGUACCUUUCCAGAGGAAUCCACGCAACACAUCACUCUGCACCUUCUCUCAUAAGCUCAGCCCACACCCUCUUUGUCGACUGUCUCAGUGGCCCUGCAUGUGUCUUAGUUGGGAUGGCUUAGUUUUCUCCCUCACAGUUGGGAGUAAUUGGGCUCAGUUGAUAUUAAAUCAUCAUAACGAUCUGGCAGCUUAUACUCAGCAUAGUUAUUUUGAGAUUCAUCCAUGUAACAAAAAUUCAUUCUUUGGAAUACUAUGCAGCCAUGAAAAGAAUGAAAUGACGUCCUUUGCAGCAACAUGGCACGUGGACUUAAAGAUGGGAACAAUAGACACUGGAGGCCAUUAGAAAAGGAAAGUAGGGAGCGGGGGCUGCGAGCUGAAAAACUACUUAUUAGGCACUAUAGUCACUACCUGGGUGAUGGGAUCAUC
Molecule: long non-coding RNA, 727 nt
Filed under: Homo sapiens (human)
Lineage: Eukaryota; Metazoa; Chordata; Mammalia; Primates; Hominidae
Description: non-protein coding lnc-KLF5-9:1
Source: RNAcentral